AUUUAAAAUGUAUUUUAUUAUUAGAGUAGUAGUAGUUAAGUUCUUGAAACUUAAAAAUUUGGCGGGAUUUUAGUCUAUUCAGAGGAACCUGUGGUAUAAUCGAUAAUCCACGUUGGACCUUACUUAAUUUUGUAAUAUUAUUUUAAAUUUAUCAAUUUGUAUAUCGCUGUUGUUUGGAGAUUUUAUAAGAAUAAUAAUUUUUAUAAUUUUUUAUAAAAAAGUAAAUCAGGUCAAGGUGCAGUUUAUAAUUAAGUAUUUCAUGGGUUACAAUAAAUUUAUUUAUACGGAUUAAUUUGUGCAAUUUGAUUAUAAAGGUGGAUUUGAAAGUAAAUUUUUAUAGAUAAAAGGGUUGAUU
RNAcentral lists this ribosomal RNA (355 nucleotides) under Argyra argentina. RNAcentral describes it as "partial 12S ribosomal RNA". Lineage: Eukaryota; Metazoa; Arthropoda; Insecta; Diptera; Dolichopodidae. The record is from RNAcentral.